This 274-nucleotide ribosomal RNA is filed under the name uncultured bacterium. RNAcentral describes it as "partial 16S ribosomal RNA". It matches the Rfam family "Bacterial small subunit ribosomal RNA", at positions 523 to 796 of the family's 1533-position model. The record is from RNAcentral.
AUACGUAGGAUGCAAGCGUUGUCCGGAAUUACUGGGCGUAAAGGGUCCGUAGGCGGUUUGUUAAGUCUCCUGUGAAAGUUCAGGGCUCAACCCUGAAAUGUCGGGGGAUACUGGCAAACUUGAGACUGUCAGAGGCAAGUGGAAUUCCCGGUGUAGUGGUGAAAUGCGUAGAUAUCGGGAGGAACACCAGUGGCGAAAGCGGCUUGCUGGGACAGUUCUGACGCUGAGGGACGAAAGCGUGGGUAGCAAACCGGAUUAGAAACCCGUGUAGUCC